UACGAAGGGGGCUAGCGUUGUUCGGAAUCACUGGGCGUAAAGCGCACGCAGGCGGAUCGUUAAGUCAGGGGUGAAAUCCCGAGGCUCAACCUCGGAACUGCCUUUGAUACUGGCGAUCUUUGAGUCCGGGAGAGGUGAGUGGAAUUCCUAGUGUAGAGGUGAAAUUCGUAGAUAUUAGGAAGAACACCAGUGGCGAAGGCGGCUCACUGGCCCGGUACUGACGCUGAGGCGCGAAAGCGUGGGGAGCAAACAGG
Molecule: ribosomal RNA, 254 nt
Filed under: uncultured bacterium
Lineage: Bacteria
Description: partial 16S ribosomal RNA
Rfam family: Bacterial small subunit ribosomal RNA
Source: RNAcentral